Oncorhynchus tshawytscha (Chinook salmon) is the source of this 738-nucleotide long non-coding RNA. RefSeq lists it as uncharacterized. The transcript is spliced from 3 exons. Lineage: Eukaryota; Metazoa; Chordata; Actinopteri; Salmoniformes; Salmonidae. The record is from RefSeq and is a predicted model, not a curated record.
UAAUAACAACGCUGCAUAUUGGUCCUCCGAUCCUUCUCGCCUCUCCUCUUCGGAAGAAGAGGAGGAAAUCCGUUACACCUAUUGCGUGCACUGGCUCACUUCCUGCGAGGUCACCAGGGGCGUGUCCAGCACCUGGUACAGAUUCAAUCUGCUGAUGCCCAAAAUGUCCGAGGUGUCCAGCCGGUAAAGGCCAGGAAAUACUACAGUACUGUGAUGGAGGCUGUUCUUAUCCGCUUCUUUGGCUUCCUGCAUGACACACUAACACACCUGAGCAAUCUGUCCGCCUGUCUCCAGAGGUCCACUAUCACCAUAGCAGAAGCCCACUGCUCCUUGUGCUCAACACAGACAGUACUUAAAGAAGUAAAAAAACAGAGAAGGGUCAGAAAAGCGAUUAUUCACCGCAGACUGGAAGAAACUUCUUCCUUUAACGAGUCCGAUCAGAAGGAUGUCCUGCUUUCCCGGAACAGGGCCAGAUCCACGCCUUUUGCUUGAAGACAAGACUCCGGAAAAGGGGAUGCAGAUCCGGAAGCGAACGAGCAAACUCCCAAUGCAUUCCAUUCUCCUUGCUAAUGUGCAAUCGUUGGAAAAUAAAAUUGAUGACCUACUAUUAAAAUUAUACUACCAACCUGACAUUAAAAACUGUAACAUCUUAUGUUUCACCGAGACGUGGCUGAACAAAGAAACGGACAAUAUAGAGCUGGCGGGAUUUUCCAUGCACCGGCAGAACAGAGACACUAC